UCAGGAUGAACGCUGGCGGCGUGCCUAAUACAUGCAAGUCGUACGAGGGAAGUCCAGCUGCUGGACGGAACGAGUGGCGAACGGGUGAGUAAUACGUAAGCAACCUGCCUGCAAGGACUGGGAUAACACCUGGAAACGGGCGCUAAUACCGGAUAGGUAACAAAGGGGCAUCCCUAUGUUAUUAAAGGUUAGAAACACAAGCAGAGGGGCUUACGGUGCAUUAGCUAGUUGGUGAGGUAACGGCCCACCAAGGCGAUGAUGCAUAGCCGGCCUGAGAGGGUGAACGGCCACAUUGGGACUGAGACACGGCCCAGACUCCUACGGGAGGCAGCAGUAGGGAAUUUUCGGCAAUGGACGAAAGUCUGACCGAGCAACGCCGCCGUGAGUGAAGAAGGUUUUCGGAUUGUAAAGCUCUGUUGUAAGGGAAGAACAGCACGGAAAGAAUCCGUGAAUGACGGUACCUUACCAGAAAGCCACGGCUAACUACGUGCCAGCCGCGGC
This 501-nucleotide ribosomal RNA is filed under the name uncultured bacterium. Its description in RNAcentral is "bacterial SSU rRNA". It matches the Rfam family "Bacterial small subunit ribosomal RNA", at positions 24 to 518 of the family's 1533-position model. The record is from RNAcentral.